UUUUACUGUUGUCCAAGCCUGUUGUCGGUAUGAUUAUCAGAGAUCGGUAGUCAAAUUGCAUGGGUUCCAACUUGUUUCAAGCCUAAAGCACUCUUGGGUCUUGAGGCCUCUCUGAAUGGUCAUAUUUGUCGUAGAGUUGCCUCACAAGGGUAAACUAUUCAACUACCCAAUUUUGCUUAGGAUGUAGUUUAUUUCUUCUACAUCAAAGUACUAUUCGGGAUAUUUGAAAUAUUUGUUUACGUCAUCUGGGUAAAUCUUUGAAGCAAACUUAUUGUGCCUUGUCUUGUUUGGGCAGGUUCCAUCCACCGAUUGGGACUAAGAUGUGAGCUCGGUCAUGAUGUUUGUCUGCAGAUUUAUGUUUCUCUAAAGGGUCAUCAAUAAUGGUGCCAUGUGUUGGCGGUUAGCCUGUUACCAUGAUGUUUUAGUUUCUCCUUCCCAUGUAUUGUCUCAGCUGGAAACCUACCAUUGUGGUUUCUCUUGUGCAACUUAGCAAAAGAGUUUAAACUUUGUUGAAUUGUUAAUGUGCAACUUAGCAAAAUGAUGG
This 544-nucleotide long non-coding RNA is filed under the name Triticum aestivum (bread wheat). RNAcentral describes it as "long non-coding RNA (TAES_LNC018951)". Lineage: Eukaryota; Viridiplantae; Streptophyta; Magnoliopsida; Poales; Poaceae. The record is from RNAcentral.